Anas platyrhynchos (mallard) is the source of this 855-nucleotide non-coding RNA. NCBI's taxonomy places the organism in Eukaryota, Metazoa, Chordata, Aves, Anseriformes, Anatidae. The record is from RefSeq and is a predicted model, not a curated record.
GCCUGUGCAGGAUCCCUGCAAGUCCAGCAGUGCACACAGAGCUACAAUAACAUGAAACAUUUUGUCUGCUUCAAAACAAAACAAGAAAAAAGAAAAAAAGAUAAAAGGAAAAAAGAAAAAAAGAAAAAAACCCUACUCUUGUGCAAAUAUAAAAGCUUCUUCCCUAUGAGAUGCUGCCCAGAUGACCAGAGAGAGCAGCAGGGCAGUAGGUGGUGGAUAAACGUGGUGGAAGUGGCAGGUUUAUUUUGCUUGGUGAUUUUAUGGUCCAUGAGCACCAGAGUAUGCGUGGUAUACCAUGAGGACAGAAACCCACUGCUACCUCUUACAGCCAACUUUCAAGAAGCAGCCGAGACUUAUAACUUCUUCAGUUCAGAGACGUACUCCUGAGAACAUGUUCAUUAUUUUAAUUGAAGUCUUCAUUGUUGGCUGACUGCCAAGUGGCCUACCAGAUGUCUCUCUCUUUACUAUGGUAGAAGCAGAUUAUGAUGUUCCAGUUCAUUUUUCCUUCACUGACAGCCUGGUUCCAAAAAUGUGCCAGACUUUAAGGGCAAUAUUUUCAAAAGCCAGGUCAACUCACAACAGUACACCAAUGACAGUGCAUGCAGAUACUACAAAACCGUAUGAUAGGCAAUUAACUCAAUGUUAUUUAUGCUAGUAAAGUAACUUUGAUUUUGUUGAGAGUCUUAGCACUGAAGGGGGAGAAUUCUUAAAGUGCCAGUUCUUGGAGUCUGGUGAACAUGGCAGAAUUUGAUCUUUUGCUUGGAAAAUAGGAAGCUUGGGCACAUGGAGUUAAAAGGAAAAACCUGAAUAAUAAUAAUAAAAAAGCUUAUUUAAAAAAAAAAAAAAAAAAAAAAA